This 97-nucleotide signal recognition particle RNA is filed under the name Mycoplasma testudineum. RNAcentral describes it as "Bacterial small signal recognition particle RNA". It matches the Rfam family "Bacterial small signal recognition particle RNA". From Rfam's summary of the family: The signal recognition particle (SRP) is a universally conserved ribonucleoprotein involved in the co-translational targeting of proteins to membranes. The record is from Rfam by way of RNAcentral. Lineage: Bacteria; Bacillati; Mycoplasmatota; Mollicutes; Mycoplasmatales; Mycoplasmataceae.
UUUAAAAGCCUAUAGAACAAUAACCUUGUUACCUGGUCAGGACAGAAAUGUAGCAGCCAAAUCGAGAAGUAUUGUGUCUAUAGGUCUUUUUUAUAUU